Molecule: long non-coding RNA, 30254 nt
Filed under: Coffea arabica (coffee)
Lineage: Eukaryota; Viridiplantae; Streptophyta; Magnoliopsida; Gentianales; Rubiaceae
Description: long non-coding RNA (CARA_LNC007772)
Source: RNAcentral
UGGCCGGCCAAGACACCCUCUCUCUCUAACUCCUUGUUCAAAAAAAUUCUGCACACUAAUCUUCCCCAAAACCACCCCAAAUCACCUCCAAAUCACACCAAACUUGGAGACCACUUAGCAAACCUCUUGGAGAUUAUAUCUAGCUAAGGAGGAGGGGAGCUUUCACGGUUUCUUGGAGCUUCAAGAGGGCCGAAAAUUCUGACCUUGCAAACCAAAGGAGUAGGUAAUGAUCAACCCUUGGAUUCUUAUCUUUUGGAGAUUAUAUGACAAGAUUAAACUCAUGCAUGCACUUAGUUACUUGAUUAUGGUGUAAGAAUGUGAUUGUGGGCUCUUGGAAUUCCCACACUUGGGUUGUUGUUGCUGAUGUGAUGAUUGAUGGUGAUUAUAUUGUUGGUUUAGUGAUAUUAAUGAUGCAUUAGUGGUGGGUAAUUGGUAGGAACUUCAUUGGGUGUAAGAGGCUAAAAUUUCCGAUUUUGCCCCUGCCAUGUUCGGCCAUUUCCAGGCCAAUUUUUAAUGGUUUAAUGGCUUGAAUUGAAUGUUUGUAGGAUGUAUUAGAUGUGUGAAAAAUUUCAUUGAAAAAUAAUGAGGUUUGAAUGGGCAAAUGAAUUUUUGUUCGAAACCAGCAAAUCUGGAAAACUGAUUCGCGUAUGCUCUGACCAGCAGUAGUAUUUUGGCUAUAACUCUGUCCUCGGAUGUCGAAAUCAUGUGCCGUCAGUGGCGUUUGAAACUAGACAUUCCUAGCUUUAAUUUGGUAUAUAAUGCACGUUCUGAUUCUUUGUGAGCAAGCCGAACCAAAUGUUUUAAGUUCGCUGUCCUGUUACUCUGUUCUUCUGGAAUGAAGUGUUCAGGCAGCAACUUGAUGCCCGAAUUUGAACCAGAUGGGUGCCGAAUUUGGAAACGAUUUCUUCUGUGAUAUUUUAACUCUAUGAAUGCAUUUUCCAACGGCGUAAGCCAUGCUCGAUUUCGAGCUAAUGACUGAGUUGUGACUGAAACAAGUGGACUGCUCUGUUUUGGAAAACCCUAAUCUUUGGACUGGUUUGGAACAAAAUCUUGGAGUGAACUUGUUAGUUGAUGUUUUUGAUAUUAAACACUUACCAAAGGUAUUAUGGAUGUAUCUUAGACCCUUAUUUCACAAAUGAACCAUGUUUGGGUAACUUUCUUGGUUAAACGAUUGGAAUUUGGAAAAUGAAAGUCAAAGGCAGAUUGCCUUAGGAUUUUUCUUGAACUUUGGCUGGCUAAUUAACGACCUGCCGAAGGUAUUUUUCCCCGAAAUUCGAUAGAGAGAUACCUUCCAUAUAGUAUUGAAAUACUGCCAAUUUUGGUGCCGAUUCAAGUUCGUUUCGAUACCCAAUUGAAUUACUAAAGUUAGAGGUUCAAAUCUGGAAAAUUCUCAUCCAGUCUUGAACUUGCUCAACUUCGGGCUACCGUAUCUCGGUGCUCGAAACUCCGAUUCUUGAUCCGCUUGUUUUGUUAUAAACUUCACUUGCAACACUAAUUGAGCUGCAAAAUUCAGAGGCCGGUUUACAACGUGCGAAUCGUGCCGAAUUUUCAAAGUUGGCCAAAAUCCAACUUCAUUCUGCCUUGUGAACCAACCCUGCACCUUCAAGCUCAUUUUUGAGCACUUUCCACUUCGAUUCAUGGAAAAGCAUCUUCUAGGAACUUAUAGUACUUUCUAAGAGGUUUCCAACGGUAUAAAGUUUUCCAAUUUUUGACUUGUACCGAGUGAGUUACGAUUUUUCAAAGAUUCAUAAUAAAGCUGAAAAUUUUCCAAUUUCAAAGAAAUAGAGUUUUUCAAGAACUCUUUACACUUUUGAUAUUAUCUAAACGUUUUGCCCACGAUUUUCAUGAUAAAAACUCAACUAAUAUUAUACUUCAUAAAACGCAAGUUGAAUCUCGAUUUACGAGUAAUUGAGGUUCAUUUUUUGUGAAAUAUUCCUUAGAUCGUACUAAUGUACAAUCUUACUUGAUAAUUGAGAUACUUGAGUAAUUAUCCACCAUUAACUGCCAGGCACACAAGGAGACCUUCAAGAGGAUCUCACCGUGGACACUUGAACUCCAGCGAAUAAUCUUUAUUAAAUUGCUCGGUGAGUGUCAAGUGUGUGAAUCUUUGAUACUUGCUUAAUUGUGGUAAUUAUUAGAGAUUUUAAAAAUAAGGGCGGUGUGUACUUUAUCGCAUCCGUUCUGAUUUCAAAUGAAUGAAUGAAAUGUAUUGAAUGAAUGAAUGAAAUGCAAUGCUAUGUAAUGGUUACAUAUGUCGUUGGAGUGAACCUCCUCGACUUUCAAAUGAAUGGGGGACGCCCAAACUCAUAGGCCGACCUUGAACUCGAGCCAGCAAUGGGCUUGGUCGGGGAUUUGGACGAGCCAUGAGAUACAAAUAAGCUCGACCUAAUAAGAGGUCUUGCUUGGCAUACUCGUUGAGUAUCGCCCAAUAUUGGCCAUUGUGGGCCCUUGGGGUGUACGGUGGACGGAGGGAAGUAAGUGGUGAUCUACGGAAAUAGAAAUACCGACCCGGUUGACAGGAGGGUCAAUGCGGGAAGGUAUACGAAUGACAUCGGCAGAGCGAGUGGAACUUAGCUCCUGAGAGCUACUAUAUCCUUGAAUUGUUUCUGAUUAUUUUUCCUGCUCAAAUGGUACUUUAUUGAAAUAUCACGGUUUUAUUUGAUAAAGUCGAGAUUGCUAUUUGAACAAUGUGCUUGCAUGUGUGUCCUUGGCCUCACGAGCGUUUUGCUCACCCUGUAGAUUUGUUUUCCUUAACAGGACUGGAAAUGGAGUUAACGCGGAGAAAUCUCCUUUUGGAUAUAUUGUGUUUUAGGGUUUCAGGUGUAUUUUGGCUUGACCCCUUUAUGAUUGUACUUUGGAAGUUUAAUGUAUCAUUCGGAUAUCUGUGAUGUAUAUUUUGAAAUUUAAGUUGUAUUAUGAACGCACGACGUGCGGGUGGCAAGCUGAUAGGUACCUUGUGAUGUAACCAUGAGAACUGUCACAGUUGGCAUCAGAGCCAUAUGCUGACAGGUUGGGUAAUGGAUGGAUAUUGUUAAGCAUGAACGUUUCCGCACUAUAUGUAUUCGUAUUAAUUUGAUUUUGGUAUCUAGUAUCGCUUUAAGGUUGAACGUUAUUGCUUGAGUCCUAGCGAGAGCUAGGCAGGCGUUCCGCGGAUACCCUUUGGUGCGCCUUAGGGAGAAGUGGGGCGUCACAAAUAGCAUGUGAAAUCAAAUAGAUAUAUACAUUGGUUUAAAAAAAUUGUUAGUUUUUCACUUAUAUUCAUUUUCUUUUACUCAAAAUUUGAUGAUAAAGAAGACAUUUAAUUCUAAAUAUUAUCGAGUGUUUAUAUCGAAUUAAAUUUGGAUAGAAAAAAUAAACAAAAGAAAAGUAUGAUAAAAAGAAAUAAGUGAUUGGCACUUUCAAAUUUUAAUACAAUCACAAGGUAAGUAAUUCAACUAUUGGUGUUGAAAGUGUCGAGUAGAAAUUUCAAAUUUAAACUAAAAUUUGUUAGCACAAUUAUAGAAUUCGAGUUAGGACCCAUUAAUUAGAUGAUCUUAUUAUACAACUCAAUAAAUAAAUUAUUAUCAAAAGAUAAAUGUCACAAAUAUUGAAUAGGUUCAAAUGGUGAAAUCAUAUAAAUAUAUACAUGAGUUUCUAACAAAAUUAUUAGUUUAAAACCCCUAUAUAUAUCUAUUGAAUAGCAUGUAUAUAACUACAAUUAACAUGUUUAGAUGAAAUUCAAUAGAGAUAAAUUACAUGUCAUUCAUACUAUUCAGGUAAAAUCAAAUAGACGUAUAUGUAGGUUUAUAGAAAAAAAAGCUAUUCGUAUACAUGGUCAAUGAGAGAUGAAAAAAUUCAUUUUAAAAAAUAUGAGGGAUGGAAAAAUUCAUUUUUUGAAAUGUGAGGAACGAAACAACUCAUUUUGUAAAAUGUUAGGGACGAAAAAUUCAUUUUGUGAGAUGUGAGGGACUAUGAAUCAAAUUAUGUAAAAAUUUGAUUUAAUAAUUUAGCCCUUAAAAAUUGAUCACAUGCAAGUCAGUGAUAGAUUCUGGCAAAACUAGUCCAAAACUUAGGUAGGAACCAAAUUUGGUUAAUGUGAAUUUGUAAGGGACGUAAAAUUACACUUUUAAAAGUGAGAGACGAAAAAGUCACCUUGUAAAAUGUGAGAAACGUUUUGAACGAUUUCCCCUUUAAAUAACGAAGAUUGGUUCAGUUUGGAUUAGAUGUUUUUGAGGGUGUUUUUCAAAAGGGUUAAAAACAAAAAAGCCCCCUGUGCUAAACCUAAUACACAACUAAGCCCCUAUGGUUUCAAAAUAUGCAACGCGACACCUCGUGCUUUGAAUUAACUUGUAACACUGACGGAAAUCGGUAAAAUUAACGGGACUGAUGUACUGGAAGCUAAAAACAAAUUCUUUAUACUUAAUUUUUAGCAAAUAUUCCUAUUGUACCCUUAGCCCCCAAUAAAACUCCCUCCCAGCGAUGCUUGUGUAUAGAAUUGAUUUCUACUUGAUGGAGAGAAAUUGAACUAGCCUUUGGGAGAAAUCAAAUUACCACACAGGAGGUUUGAAAGGUAAAGCCAUCCUCUAUAUACGAAGUCAACCUGCGAGGAACUUCUACACAAUCUUGGCUAACAAAUUGCAGCCCAUAAGGUAAAAGCAUUUGAUUUUGGGUUUUGGCUAACAAAUUGUUGUUAUUAGGGUUUAAAGUAAGAAUGUUGGUAACUAAAUUGGGAUUUAUCUACUGAUGAAGGGAAAUGACUGGCUAAAAAAUUUGCUCAUGUCUUCCUGAAGCUCUCGAGGGGAUAGUGGAGCUAGGAAUCUACGGUACCAAUAUAAGCUGUGCGACUGUCGAAGAAAGGCAAAGGUGAAGAUUGUUGAGUCCGAAAAGCCAUCCAAAGGGAUGCUGUACUUUGUUUGUGAAAGGAUGAAUGCAGAUUUUUCUCAUGGUGUAAUCCCAUCUAUAGAGAUGAAACUGGCAGAGGAAACUUUUUUGAGAGGCCAAUGGUUGAAGAACAUUUGUCGUGCUUGAACUCGAAUUCUGAAGUGAAGAACUUGAAUGAUGAAGUGAAGAAUUGAAAGUACUAGUUAGCUAUUGUCUAAUGGUAUCUAUUUUUUCACUUUUGCUUCUGUUGAUGAAAAUGUCUGUAAAAUAAGACAAUGAAGAAGCUUAUGAAUGGAAUGAAGAAAAUCAGGUAGUUUGUUUUGUUCAUGGGAAUGUGCACUUUAUUCUUCUGUUUUUUUCGAAAGAUGUCCUACCUAAAACAAUGAAACAAACAUCUAACUAUUAUAUACACUUGUAAGCAUAUUUGUGCAUUAAAAACAGUUUUGAGCAAUAAGCACACACAAUAACAUCUUCUGCAUUCCAAUUUGAGUAAUAAGUACACAAAGUACAUUAAAAUUUCUAGUCCAUAAACUAUUCCAGAAAUAUAUCCCACCCAACAUUCCAGAAAUAUAUCCCACUAUACAUUCCAGAAACAAUUUCAAAUAGAGUAGACAAAAUACAUCCCACCAAACAAAAACUGCCCAGACAAACAGUACAUGAAAUAUUCCAGCCCAUAAAAACUGCCCAGAAAUAGCUUUUUCUACAAUUGAGAUAUACCAUUGCAGCCCAUAAUCAUAAUGCUCCAUUAAAACAGUCAAUAAGUACAUUAAAGUGUCCAACAUCAGCAACGAAUCCUCCAAAAUUGCUGAAGCCAACAGCAUCCAAUCAAAAUACAUCAAAGUUUCCAGUUUGCAAUAAUUGAUAACAAUUCCAAACAGAGUAGACAAAAUACAUCAGAAACAUACAUUCCAGCUGUUUGCCACCAACUCUAACAGCAACCACUAAUUCCUUAAAACUACACAAAAGGCAAUCAACAAACAUACAUUCCACUUCAAAAUUCAACUCUAACAUCUUCUUGCUUUCUUGGAUCUUAGGUUGUAUAGAACAUCAGCAACAGUAGGACGAAGGGGUCCUUUUGCUAGUGAAGUUGUUCCACUCACAGGCUGCAAUUGAAGUAGAAAAUAUGAAUGUUUGAAGGAAAAAUGCUUCAUUAAAUCUGUGACGCCCAGAAAAAAAGAGUUUGAGAACCCGUAAAACCCUAAUCUUUUCCGAGGGUUUUAUUUCCUUUAAUAGCAUGUUUUCUGCAUUUCCUGGCUUAGGAAAUUUUCCUGAGGAAUUUUUAUGAGUAAUUAUAGUUUUUAGAUGAUUUUUCUAGCCUUGGAGAGUUUUUGGAAAAUUAAGAGUAUAUAAUGGACGUGGGGACCCACUAGUGCGAAAAAGUUCGGAAAAAAUUCGGCCAAUAAGGUUAAGUUUCGGAUACUGUGUAAAAUUUAUCGGGUGUUAAGAGAUAAGUAGAGUGGUGUGAAAUGAUUGAUGUGAGAGGUAAAAGAAAAGAUAAGAUUGCAUUUAUGAUAGUGACAAGUGUCACAAUAUCAUUGGUUUUGACUUAAGAACACUAUUCACUAUUUUGACUUUUGACCCAAUUAAGUAAUAUCUCAAAAAUUCACAAAAAUUACCAUUUUCUUACCUUGUGUUGGCCGGCUCUCUCUCUUGCAAGAAGGAAGGAAGUUCUUCAACAUUUCAAGCUCUCCAAGUGGCUCAAAUCAACCAAACCAAGGGUUUGAAUUAGUUUUUACUCCAUACAAUCUUUCCUUUUAGUGAUAGUGAGUGCUUUAGUGAAGUUUUUGGAAGAGCUAAGGUGUCCAACAUCUUCCCCUCUCUUGUUUACUUGGUAAGUGAAGCUUAAACUUCCACCUACACCUAUUGAUGCUUAAGAUAUGAUUAAGUAGUGAUUAAAGUGCUGAAAUUUCUGGUUUUAUCUUGGUUGAAGUGAUUUGGUGAAGUUUUGAUUUUAUUGAUGAUUUUUCUGGUUUAAUUGGAUUAUGGUGUUGUGGUUGUUUAUGAUGAUUUAUAAUGAGGGGUUAUGACUCUAGUGGAUGGAAAUGAUUGAUAUUUGCAACCAAUUUUGGAUUUGGAAUAAAUUUUGGAAAGAUAGGGUUCAUGAAGCUACAUUCUGCCCGAAUUUAUUUCACCAUGUUAGAGGCCGAAUUGGCCUUGGCUUAAAACAUGAAAGUUGUAGGUAUUGAUGUGUUUGAAGUGCCUGUAAAAUUUCAGGUCAUUUGGACUAGUGUAGAGUGAGAUAUGUCUAUUUUACUGUUGCUGUUCUGGGUUGAUCAGAAUGCGAAAACUGCACUUGUAAUUGGCCAUUUUGACUGGAAUUGCUUUGGAUUUGGAUGUUGGUGUCUUCUGAUGAAAUGUAUCUGGAUGUCGUAGCUUCCAUAUGCCUUUGGAAUCAAUGCAUUUGGACCUGUACAGACCGAGUUAUACCAAUUACAGCAUAGUGGGAUUUGUGAACCUGUUUUAGUGGUUCUGGUUUGGUAUUUUUGGCAUAUUUGACCUAGUUGUGCUAGGAUUUGGAUUGAGUGGCCUUCUACAUUGUUGUAGCCCUGUCUCUUAGCUUCGAAACGGUGGGUCUUGCACCUUCAUCCGACAAUCGUAACGCCUUUGGUACCAUUACCGCAAAAUGACGUCAAAACUGUUUUUCUGGUUUUGAGCUUAACUUUCAUUUCCGGACUCUUCCCUAGCUUGACUUGUACUAGUACUACUUGGAGCUUGCUGAAUGGAUGAUUUCUGAGCCGUGGAGGUGAGUGACCCCAAACUAUUGUUAAAGCUUCUUAUGAACCGUUUCUUGCACUAUUUACUUGAUUGCAUAUCAUGAGUGCUUGCAUGUGGCCAUGACAUGUUUUGGCUUAAAUGAGUGCUUGGAAUUCGUGUGCUGAACACCAACGUCUCCACCUCUGUGUACUGUUCAUCUGGAGCAAAUGGCUCCCCACUGACUGUUUACUGUUAAAUGUUUGUUUGGAGCGUUGGGUGUUUAAGUACAACGAUUUCGCUGGCUCACGAGAGCAAUAAGUGUACAUUUGAUCUUGAAAUCUUGACAUCACUGAAAUGAACGACUGUGAAACUGAAUUGAUUGCUGAUUUUAAUGGUUACUCGCUGAGCUUCUAGCUCACCCAAAAAUAUUUUAUUUCCCCCCCACAGGGCUCAAGGCGAAGAAAAGCUUGGAGUGCUUAUUCGCGGACCGGAUGGCUUAUAUCGUGUACAGUUUAAGUUUGGAUCUAUUUUAUGUAUGAGUUGGUCUUGUGUAAAUAUUUGCAAUUGAUAUGGAUGUAAGUAUACGUUCCACGAUUGGAAUCAGUUUCCGCUGCAUUUGUAAGAUGUAAUCAUUGGAGAAUUUGAUGUAAUUUUGAGAUUUAUAUUGUAAUUGGGUUGAGGACUGUAGUGAGCGACUGAGUCCCGGCGAGAGCUGGGCAGGCGGCCCGCCGAACCCUCUGGUUCGCCUUAGGGGGAGGUGGGGCCGUUACAAGUGGUAUCAGAGCUUAGGCUUCAGAUCUCUGUAGUGUAUCCUAGACUUGAAGUUUAGGAUGCCGGACUGUGGGCUUGGUUUGAAAUAUUAGUGAUUCUUGCGGGUUGGCUUGACUUGAUUAGUACAAGAGGGAAUGUCGAGGACGACAUUCUUUUAAGCAGGGGAGAUUGUGACGCCCCGAAAAAAAAAAUUUGAGAACCCGUAAAAACCCUAAUCUUUUCCGAGGGUUUUAUUUUCUUUAAUAGCAUGUUUUCUGCAUUUCCUGGCUUAGGAAAUUUUCCUGAGGAAUUUUUAUGAGUAAUUAUAGUUUUUAGAUGAUUUUUCUAGCCUUGGAGAGUUUUUGGAAAAUUAAGAGUAUAUAAUGGACGUGGGACCCACUAGUGCGAAAAGUUCGGAAAAAUUCGGCCAAUAAGGUUAAGUUUCGGAUACUGUGUAAAAUUUAUCGGGUGUUAAGAGAUAAGUAGAGUGGGUGAAAUGAUUGAUGUGAGAGGUAAAAGAAAAGAUAAGAUUGCAUUUAUGAUAGUGACAAGUGUCACAAUAUCAUUGGUUUUGACUUAAGAACACUAUUCACUAUUUUGACUUUUGACCCAAUUAAGUAAAUAUCUCAAAAAUUCACAAAAAUUACCAUUUUCUUACCUUGUGUUGGCCGGCUCUCUCUCUUGCAAGAAGGAAGGAAGUUGUUCAACAUUUCAAGCUUCCAAGUGGCUCAAAUCAACCAAACCAAGGGUUUGAAUUAGUUUUUACUCCAUACAAUCUUUCCUUUUAGUGAUAGUGAGUGCUUUAGUGAAGUUUUUUGGAAGAGCUAAGGUGUCCAACAUCUUCCCUCUCUUGUUUACUUGGUAAGUGAAGCUUAAACUUCCACCUACACCUAUUGAUGCUUAAGAUAUGAUUAGUAGUGAUUAAAGUGCUGAAAUUUCUGGUUUUAUCUUGGUUUGAAGUGAUUUGGUGAAGUUUUGAUUUUAUUGAUGAUUUUUCUGGUUUAAUUGGAUUAUGGUGUUGUGGUUGUUUAUGAUGAUUGAUAAUGAGGGGUUAUGACUCUAGUGGAUGGAAAUGAUUGAUAUUUGCAACCAAUUUUGGAUUUGGAAUAAAUUUUGGAAAGAUAGGGUUCAUGAAGCUACAUUCUGCCCGAAUUUAUUGCACCAUGUUAGAGGCCGAAUUGGCCUUGGCUUAAAACAUGAAAGUUGUAGGUAUUGAUGUGUUUGAAGUGCCUGUAAAAUUUCAGGUCAUUUGGACUAGUGUAGAGUGAGAUAUGUCUAUUUUACUGUUGCUGUUCUGGGUUGAUCAGAAUGCGAAAACUGCACUUGUAAUUGGCCAUUUUGACUGGAAUUGCUUUGGAUUUGGAUGUUGGUGUCUUCUGAUGAAAUGUAUCUGGAUGUCGUAGCUUCCAUAUGCCUUUGGAAUCAAUGCAUUUGGACCUGUACAGACCGAGUUAUACCAAUUACAGCAUAGUGGGAUUUGUGAACCUGUUUUAGUGGUUCUGGUUUGGUAUUUUUGGCAUAUUUGACCUAGUUGUGCUAGGAUUUGGAUUGAGUGGCCUUCUACAUUGUUGUAGCCCUGUCUCUUAGCUUCGAAACGGUGGGUCUUGUACCUUCAUCCGACAAUCGUAACGCCUUUGUACCAUUACCGCAAAAUGACGUCAAAACUGUUUUUCUGGUUUUGAGCUUAACCUUCAUUUCCGGACUUUUCCCUAGCUUGACUUGUACUAGUACUACUUGGAGCUUGCUGAAUGGAUGAUUUCUGAGCCGUGGAGGUGAGUGACCCCAAACUAUUGUUAAAGCUUCUUAUGAACCGUUUCUUGCACUAUUUACUUGAUUGCAUAUCAUGAGUGCUUGCAUGUGGCCCAUGACAUGUUUUGGCUUAAAUGAGUGCUUGGAAUUCGUGUGCUGAACACCAACGUCUCCACCUCUGUGUACUGUUCAUCUGGAGCAAAUGGCUCCCCACUGACUGUUUACUGUUAAAUGUUUGUUUGGAGCGUUGGGUGUUUAAGUACAACGAUUUCGCUGGCUCACGAGAGCAAUAAGUGUACAUUUGAUCUUGAAAUCUUGACAUCACUGAAAUGAACGACUGUGAAACUGAAUUGAUUGCUGAUUUUAAUGGUUACUCGCUGAGCUUCUAGCUCACCCCAAAAAUGUUUUAUUUCCCCCCCCACAGGGCUCAAGGCGAAGAAAAGCUUGGAGUGCUUAUUCACGGACCGGAUGGCUUAUAUCAUGUACAGUUUAAGUUUGGAUCUAUUUUAUGUAUGAGUUGGUCUUGUGUAAAUAUUUGCAAUUGAUAUGGAUGUAAGUAUACGUUCCACGAUUGGAAUCAGUUUCCGCUGCACUUGUAAGAUGUAAUCAUUGGAGAAUUUGAUGUAAUUUUGAGAUUUAUAUUGUAAUUGGGUUGAGGACUGUAGUGAGCGACUGAGUCCGGCGAGAGCUGGGCAGGCGGCCCGCCGAACCCUCUGGUUCGCCUUAGGGGGAGAUGGGGCUGUUACAAAAUCACUUUUGCGUUACAUGAAAUCCAACCUGAGAACAUGAUUGUCUAGCAGGCACAUUUUUUGCUACACUCGCAAUUGUUGGCUGCGUAUACUGCUUCCCGGGCCUGCAGUUUUUUUUUUUGAACAGGUGCAACUUGUUCUUGAUUUGGACUGGUUGCGGGGGUACUAUUGGUGAAGGAGCUGAUGAAUGAAGUUCUGAACUUGAUUCAACUACAUUGGUGUCAGGAGCCUAUAAAAAACAAGUUCAUUUUAAUGUUCAAUUAAAAUGAUUUGGGACAGCAAUUAGUCUUAGCCUAUGAAAUCUGUAAGCUGUGUUACCUUGUAGAAUUUAGAGUUGGGAUGAAUGGCAUUCUUGCAGGUCCUUGAAUUGUGUCUUGGCUGAAAACAUCUCUUGUAAGUUACCACAAGACCCUUUCUGGUUGAGACUUGACCCUUUUUAGGCUCGUCGGCUGCCCUUUGCCGGAUCUUUUUGGGUCUGCCAGGCAUUCUUCGAACUGCAGGAGGUUUUGGGGUUGUUCUUCACAUCUCACCCAGUACUUAUUACUUGGGACAGGUGUGAUAGUGUGCUCAUAUGUUUUCAAGUAAUUUUCUCUACUGUAGCAGGCAUGCACAUAAUCAAGCAAAGGCAAUCUACGUGCUCCUAUUGCAGCACAUGCAUGAGCACAAGGAUAACCUGUAAGCUGGAAAUAGCCACAUGUGCAAGUCUUUUCCUUCAGAUCCACCACAACAGAUUUUCUGGGCCCACAAUCAAUUUCAUAUUUGUUCUUGCCAUCCCAUGUGGGAAUACACAGCCUACUGAAUUUCAGAUUCCUAUCAAUCUUCUCUGCAAUGUUAGGACAUAUUUUUCCUUGAAAUUUCUGCAUACCAGUCCUCUUCACUUGAAUCCUUUGCAUGAGCCUUCUUCGAAUCCACUCAAGCAUCCCUAUGACAGGUAGCUCUCUAGCUUCUAAGAUAUAGUUAUUAAAUGACUCACAAAGAUUGUUCACAAGAAUAUCACAUUUGCUACUUUGUCUAAAAUGUGACCUGCUCCAUAAAACACUUGGCACUUUUUGCAGCCAUUCAGCUGCAUCCUUUGAAGCUUUUUCAAGGGAAUUCAUUGCUAAUUUCCAGUCCACUUCAUUCCCAACACUUGCUGCUGCCCAGAACAAGUCCUUCAACUCUUUUCCUUUGAACUUCUGUUUGAAAUUUUGGUACAUAUGCCUCAAGCAAAACCUGUGUUCAGAAUUUGGAAAUAACUCAUUCACUGCAUGGACCAGUCCUUUUUGUCGAUCUGAGAUGAAUGUCCAGGGUAUGUUUUCCACACCAAGUCCCAGAUCAGCCAUUAGUAGUUCCAGAAACCACUUCCAUGAGUCAUACCUCUCUACCUCUACCACUGCUACAGCUAUUGGAACCAUAUUGUCAUUGCCAUCUCUACCAAUUGCUGACAACAACUGACCACCAAAUGCAGAUUUCAAAAAACACCAUCAAGACCAAUUAUUGGUCGACAGCCAUCGAGGAACCCCUGUUUGCAAGCAUAAAGACAGUAAUACAGUCUUUGAAAUGUCCCUUGUGAACCUUCUUCUGCUGUAUCAAGCUUAAUCUUGACAGUGCUACCAGGAUUUGUCUCUCUAAUUGUAGCUGCAUAACUCCAAAGGUGGUGAUAUUGCUCCAUAUCCGUGCCAAGCAUCUCAUCUUUUGCACAUCUCUUUGCUCUGCGUAUCUUGGCAACGGACACGUUAAUCAUUAGAUCUCUUCUAAUAUCAUUCUGAAAUCCUAUUGCAGCACACUGCGGGUCACCUCUUAUCUUGUCUUGGUACUUCACGCUCAAAUACUUGGCUGUUGCAUGCUUGUUGUUGUAAUCUCUAGCACAAACAUGCUGGCCCUUCAAUGAUUUAAUUUGAAAAGUAGUUUCACCUUGGACUGGUGUUGCACGAAUCCUCCAAGAACAGCCCUUUGCACACUUCGCAAUAAUUUUUUUCGAGUAAUUUUUUACCCAAUCAACCUCAUAUCCCUCUCUUACCAACCAUUCGAUCAACACAUAUCUAAAAACUCUGAAAUUGGAAAACUUUUGCCCAACCUUCAACUCAAAAUGUGGCUUGAGAAACUCCACUUCAGGGUUAAAGUCAUGACAUUCUUCAUGGCCUUCAUCAUUAGAUCCGCACUUGUCCAGCAACUCUUCAUCAGAAAUUACUGGUUCUUGCCAAUCCUCUUCGGUGUAUGUGGUGCUCCUUCUGUUGAACUUUCCUCAGCCUUUUUACUGUUCCCUGCUUCAGCUUGUGAUGGAUCUGAGAUGGGUGUUGGUCAGCAGCUUGAGAUGCAGCUUGAGAUGAAUUCUGAAAUGAGAUAUGAGGUGGAAUUUCUCCAAUGCUAUCUGGCCCUGCAGACUGCUUCUUAUUUUUACUAGACUUUUUUUCCUUACUAGUUUCACUUUUGGCAAGGCUCUUGAUAGCCACCUUCUCAGGGAAAGAGAACACGUGAUAAGGCUUAAAAUGAGUGGAAUGUAGUAUGGACCCACCUUCUGGUUUACUACUUCUGUCCACAUCUUUUUUACUUGCGAAAAUGUCCUCAUCCUCUUUUUUUUCCAACCCCUCCUUCAACCAUUCAGGCUCAUCAUCAUCAUCAUCAUCAUCAGUGUUAAAUGGCUUAUUUGGAUUGCAAUUACUAACCCCAUCAUCUUUUUUUUGUACCCCACCAUCUCUGCUGUCUAUUUUGGUGUUAUGUACCCCAUCUGCAUUUUUAAUUGUUGUUGAUGCAUCCAUUGUCGAAUUUGGCUCCAACACAUUGUCCCCACCAUGUUCUAGUGGCUUUUCAAAAGGAUCAUCCCCACUACAGGCAUAUAUUAUCCUUGUUGCCAAACCCCAAUGUGCUUUAUUCAUUAAUUUAACAUCAUCAUGGUCCCUAAUUGGAUGUAGACCACCAUCUAAGUCUACUCCUGGAGCACAAAACCAGAAAGUCACUCUAGUUGCAUCCUCAUCCACUUUUUUAAACAUUCUGCAAAGGCUAACUAUGCAGAUGUGGUCCUCAAGUCUAUUUUUAAAGAUAGCCAUACGGGUUCCUGUGUAGUGGAGGGCAGGAUAUUCUCUAAAUUUUCCAUCAAAAUACAUAUGUAUAUCUACUGUCUCCUCUGACUUGUCUUCUUCUGUUGAAUGUUUCAAGAAAUAUAAUAAAUAUGCUUUAGUCUCCCAACUACUAUGUCUCCAUCAUUGAUAUACAGAAAACCAAAUAAACAUAAAAGCACAAACAGAAAACCAAUUUUAAUAGCAUUCUGGACCACUAAACCAGAGAAGACAGUAACAAUUAUAGAAAUUUUACUUACAAUUCUUUGUUAAAUAUCUUGUUGUAAUAGCAAGUGACUGAGUUGUACUCAAACACACAAACACACACAAACAGAAACAGAUCCUACUCAACACCCCUAAUCAGCAAAAAUUUCCCAUCACAAAUGGAAAUUUCAGAAAUUAUUUGCGUCACCUAGUCAACACCCAAAUCUCAACUUUAAAUCCAAACUUGCAGUCCCAAAUCAGCAAAAAUCUCCCAUCAGAAAUGGACAUUUCAGAAAUUAUUUGCAUGACUCCUAGUUCCAACACCCAAAAUUUUUUAAAAAAAUCUCGGCUUCAAAACUAAAGUCGUAGUCCCAAAACAGCAAAAAUCUUCAUUUUAAAUCCAAAGUACCAGUUUCAAAACUCACAAAAUCAGGAAUUUUCUAAGGUAAACACCCAAAUACGGGUGUAAAUAACAUCAUCAGCCCUCAAAAUCUGAGAUGGGUAACCCUAAAUUGUAAACUAAUUAUAACAUGCAUGAACUGAUUUUAAUUAAUUAUAACAUGAACGAAGUAUAGCAUACAUACCCAUUUGCCUUCGAUUUUCUGGAAUAAAUCUUCGUCUCCUUCGAUUUUCUUACUUGAUUCCGUCUCCUUCGUCUCCUUCGAUUUACUUCCUCUCUCUCUCUCUCUCUCUCUCUCUCUUCGUAGGGUUUGAAGGGAAGAAAUGAGUCCGCUCAAUUGCCUUUUGGGUAUUAUACAAGGGCAUUUUGGUCCUUUCAUCAGUUCCCGUUAAUUUUACCGAUUUCCGUCAGUGUUACAACUUAGUUCAAAGCACGAGGUGUCGCGUUGCAUAUUUUGAAACCAUAGGGGGCUUAGUUGUGUAUUAGGUUUAGCACAGGGGGUUUUUUUUUGUUUUUAACCCAAGCAUUGCGAACGUGAAAAUACAAGUGCUGUACAUAUAUGCUAUUUCUUUCCCUUUUAGACCAAUCAUUUUGACUUUUGUGCUUUCUGAUAAAAAAUUUUCAUUUGUUUUUUGUGGAAAUGCAAAAAAAAAAUUAAUUAUGUAUAAAUCGAAAAAUUUACUAAUUUAAUUAUUGGCACUUUGCUCAUACGUUGGAGGACUGGUAAGAAAGCCGUGAAGAGUUGGUAUUUUUAUUAAUGAAAACUUUUCCCGUAAAUGGCCUGCUCUUUAUGUUUUUCCUUCAUUAUAUUUAAAAAGUAUCAUACUUUUUGUAUUUAUCACGAAUUCACAUAUUGUGACUGUGAAUUAAAAAUUUUUCGAGAUUGUAUUUUCAUUAAUUAGUCUUUUUUUCGUACUAUCGUUAGUUUAAAUGAAAAUUUUAGUUACAUGGUGUUUGGGAGCAACUUCUAAAGUAACUAUAUAAUCCUAAUAAUUUUUAUAAUUGCUUAGUAUAUUUAUGUCAUGGGUAUAUAUUGUUGAUAUGUUGUUAUUAAUUUUAUUAAAUUGUGUGGUAUAUUAGGUGCAGAAAAUUAUAGUUUCACAAUUUUUUAAAUGUAAUAAAGCAGUGGGGAAACAAUGCACAGUGAAUGAAGGAAUUGGAAGGGAAAAAAGGCUGCAUCUGAACAUGUCUUGUUUGGUUUAUCUCCACGCGUGUUACCACUGCAACAUAAUAGUCCGUGAACUCCUCAUUUUAUAAAUACACGUGUCAUGCUUUGAGGAGCUGCUUGCGGUAGGAAGUUCCUACCAUAAAGGUAUCCUUCGGACAGUCAAAGGCUUCAGUCAUGCAUCAAUCAUUCGAGAGUAUAAAAGCUGGUUAUUUGCAAGACUUGUGCAUUAACAAUCGGACAGUCCAAGAUGAUGCAAUGUGAAUUCUUCGUGCAUCCGACUUGUCCCAUAAUAUUUCCUACAAUCAAAGUUGCACAAAUAAACAUUAUCCUUGGUUUGUCAUCAUCAAAACAUCUUGGGCUCCAAUAGAAAGAAUGAGAGUCAAGUCAAGCAAGUCGACAUAAGGUAUUUAAUAGUUGAAAAUAAUAUUUAGAAAGAAAAAAGUAGCCAUAUAUUAAAUAUAUAGUAACAAGUUGUUAUUCCUAAACUAACAAAUAAAAGUUAACGCUUAAGUUAGUAAUAAUCAAAUAACUCAUAAGGGACUCACUAGUUUAUUUAGUAUUUUGCUAUUAUUCUCAAAUUAUUGUUGUUGUCUAAACACUUGAAAUACUUAUGUUUACAUCAUUUAUGCACAUUGUUGUUCAUGUAUAAAGUACGGAUCAUUUCAUUCAUAAAGUUAAAACCUAAAUAACUUAUGUGAAAUUAUUAAUAAAGUUAUUGGAGUACUUAGUUAGAAAGUAUAACCACCAUGUGACAGCCCCACCUCUCCCUUGGGCAAACCCUAGGGUAUCAGCGGACUGCCUGCCUAGCUCUCGCCAGGACUCAGUCGUUCAAAGUACUAAUAUCAUCAAUGAAACGAAUGUAACAUUUGACAAUGCAGGGGAUUGAAACACGAACUCAAACAUGAUCACUAAUCCAACAAUUCAGCUUAGUACAUAUAUCAUCGUAUGCCAACUUACCACGCUUCACUCAAAAUUACAUAAUAUAAAUCACCCUUAAGAAUUUAAGCUUACAAGUCUGCUUAAACGAAAGUUACAACCUCAAAACGCAAGAACGGCAAAAUAAAGCUAAGAAAGCCCUCGAUCAAAUCCCUUCCCGAUCUGUUAAGGAAAACAAAGGGAAUGGGGUGAGCUAAAGCCCAGUGAGGUUCCAGGUAAACAAGUAAACACAUAGCGACAUAAAAUCACAAAAUAGCCAACUAAACACCGUACAGUAAAAUAACAGUUUAAUCACAAUUCAAUUCAAGGAUAUGGGUGGCUUUCAAAAGCCAAAGGUCCACUUGAGCUUGAUCAUAAUUGCCUCCUGUUGACACUCCGUCAACACUUGUAACAGUAUAUAGGUCCGUAGAACACCACUUUCACCAGUCUCCGUCCCCCAAACAACCCCCCACCGGGCCCGCACUCCAUAAACAGUAGUUUGGUAAUACUCGAGUAUACCAGGAAUCCGAGUUUCCAAUGCUCAAGGAUUCCAAUAAAACAGUAUCAAGCCGAGGAUUUUAUCACUGGUGGUGCUGGACAACACAACAAGUAAGCACAACGGCUAUGCUUCACCAGGGACCUCCAGGCAAGAUUCAAUUUCCAGUGAACAGUAAACAGUCCUCAAGGUUUAUCGGCCUUCUCGACCACUCCCUUGCUGGCUCGAUACAACCGACUCACCUAUGAGGUUGGGUACCCAAACAGUAAAGUAGUUGGCGGAAUGUCAUCCACGCAACUUAAGCACGGUCAUGUAUAGCAAUAUCUCAUUUCAUAUUACUUCAUUCAGUAAGUAGAGCCUCAGUGGAAAACAAGGAAGGUCAAGUGCGAUAAAGUACACACUCGCCUCGAUUUUAACUAAAACAGUGUUUGGCUCAAACAAUAGCAAAUCAACGAUUUCAAGUAUGCAAGUAUUCCACAUAACAAGUAGCAAGUAGUGAAACACUCACCUGUCAAGCAAAAGUAGCAAUUGACAUCAAACGUCUCAGUUACGAUCACCUUUGUUGCCCAAACCUAGGUCAACGAGCGAAACCAUUAACAAUUGGAUUCGUUCCUUACUCAAGUAUAGGUUCAUUGAGAGACCAAGUGAGUAGCCUAAGCUACUUAAUCUAUCAUGAAAAUGAGGUCCAAACCAUGGGAAAAGUUGAUAAGGAAACAAGUUUGGUAUGUACAUGAAAGUUCGGCAAAAAGAAGUUUCACCGAAGCUCAAAAGUUUCAUUACGGUUAAACUGUCUCGCCCGACCAGUCUCGGGAAAAUGGUCACUGUUCAUCGUAGGAGAGUCAGAAUUAGGUUCCGUCAAUUGCGUUGGAAACUAGGUUCUUAAGGUUAAAUUUGUCGUGAAGAAACCAUUUCCAAAAUCCCAGCUUAAGUGGCUCAAAAUUAAGAAGCCAAAAGAAAUUUCUGGACUGCCUCGGAUGAACAGUACCGCACGGGCAGCCGACUUCCACGACUUGCCACGGAUUACUCGGGACGAACCAGAACAUGAGCCAGGUACCAUUUUAAAGCUCUAAGAGUCUAUUUUCCAAUGCCACAAACGGAACUCAAUUCAGAUCAGUGAGUAAAACGUUAUAGCCUUUACAACAUCGCUGGACAGAAAGUUUCUGGACCUAGUCCAGUUUUGUCCCUUUGCUUGCAACUCAAAAUUUACUCAACCAAAUUGGCUAAUUUUUUGUAGACAACCUCUACACACAUAACCCAACAUAUAUCACUCACAUUUGUAGCCAAAAUAUGCAUGAAACAUCAGGGCAAAAACCGGACAGCAAGCUGAACAGUUUCGGUCAGCAUCCUUAAUUCUUUCCCAACUUUCACUCUUCUCAUUAUUUUCACCUUUUGCACAUCUCAAGUAUUACAUCUAACCAUAUAAGGUUUUAAAACAUAUCAAUACCUCAUAAACAUAAAUGAAUAAGAGUUGAACAUUUCAUCAAACACUUGGUGUGCAUACUAACAAUUCAUCCACUACUUGUUUAAUUCAAGGGGUUAACUUUCAAUUCCAACCACAACAACUUGCAAUUCAUGAUUAGAGCUUAUAGUAGAUGAUCUAACACAUAAAACCCCCAAAUUAAAGAGUACUUACCUUACUUACAAGGUGCUCAAAUCACCAAAACAAUCCACCAAAAUGAAAGCUUCAAGCUUGGAACAACCACAAGGAUUGGAGGAAAGUUUCUCACUAACUCUAGAUCUUUCUCUUUUGAUUUUUCUCUCAAGCUCACACUAGGUUUAGAAAGCUUUAAAAUGGAGUUUCUCUCCUUCUCUUGGAAGCUAAGAAGGGCACGAAAUUAUGGUGGAGGAAUGGAGCAAAAAUUGGUUUAAAAUUCAUCUAAUCUUUGGUCAAACAAGAUGCAUGGCUAGGAUUUUGCCACUUGGCCUAAUACUUGUACACAACUUCUCUUAAUUCUUUGACUAAUGCCAUUCUUACCUUUCCAAAUGCACCAAUAAUUAUUCAACACCUCUAAUCUCUCACAAAAAGUCUCUACCACUAAUAAAAGAACACUUGGACAAUUACAAGUGGUGAUUUAUUUACAACCUAGCUCGAGGAUAUAUUUUACUUCAAGUAAAAUGAAUUGAAAUGAAAUGCAUGGAAAUUAUUAUAACACGUAGAAAAUAAUUUGUAAGGGCAUUUAUUAAAUGGUCUAGAUCUUAUAAUAAGGCAUGUAAAUAAGAAAAUUGUGUUUUAAAGUGAGGGUCCAUACAAGGGAUUUGUUGUAACACAUUGUGAAAUAUAAUUGUGAGGACUCGCAAAUUUCUUGUAUUUUUCUCAAAAAUUCCCUUUUAUUUGAAAAUUAAUUGGUAACUAUUAUUUCAUGUUAUCCAUGGUUCAAUCACCCUAGAAAAGUGCCAAUAACCAUAGGAAAUUAGGGUUUUCCUAUUCGUUUUCAAUUCAAGGUGAAAUUGGAUUUUUCGUGUAACCGCAGUAUAAUUAUCCGGUACCGAGUAGGGAUCAAAUUUGGUGCUUAAGAGUGACUUUUAAGUGAGAAAUAAUAUGUGAUUAGAAGCAAUGAUAAAAAGUUAGGGAAUAGGGAGUAAAAAACCCUAGUACGUGCGAUUUAAGAGAAAACGCGUCACACCGACGUGUACCGUGUAUUACCAAUUGAACCAUCACUUGACCACCACUUUCUUGCCAUACAAGUUUAACACUAGUAAAGCAAAAUAUCUUCCCCCUCUUGGCUCUCCUAUUGGCCGAAAUUUGUGGCCCAAGUGCAAGGGAUGAAAGAGAAAAUUGUGUGGUUGAGGUUGAGCCAAGUGUUAGCCAAACUUGUGGCUAGAAUUAAUUCUUAUCUUUCCAACCUUCUUAUAAGACAAACUAGGCUUAAUCUUCCUCAUUUCUUCUUCUUCAUGGCCGACCAAAGAGAGAGAGAAAGGGAGAGCAAGUGAAAACAAUUUUCUUCUUGAGCUACACCAACCAAGUGCUAGAAUCGAAUUCUAAACCGAUUAAAGUGUGGGUUGUGAGUUAGGAAGCUUGUGGAACUAAAAAUUUUUCAAAGGAGGUGGAGUAUCACUCAUUCAAGCCUUGCUUUUGAGGUAUAAAUUCUGAUCUUGGUCCUUGUUCAUUUAAUUUUUGGUUAAAGAUGUGAUUUUAUGGAGGAUUAACACUUGAAUGCAUGAAUUUCCAGAUUUGGGUUUUCAUUUCUUCUCUUUCUUCCCGGUUUUAGUACUCUAUGUUAGAGGCCGAAUCAGUUCUUACCCAAAACAUGAAAGUUAUAGAGAAUAAUGUUUUCUAGUUACCUGUAAAAUUUCAACUCAAUCCGAGCUUGGUAGCAUGUGAAAAGUCCAAAAUACCCUUACUGUUUUAAGUAUUUCCUAAGCAGUCCGUGUGAUCAGUUAAGUCCAGUCUAUCCCGUUUUUUUGACUAGGAUUCAUUCUGAUUUAGUGUUUUGCCAAAACAUGAAAGUUGUAUCAUUCUGAAUUAGCUUUCAAAUGCCUCUAAGAACACCUGAUUCGGACUUGUGUACUCUGAGAUAUGUCCAUUACAGUGUUCUGCGUUUAAACAGCCGACGAAUUGGUUUCUGGUUUAGUAAUUCGAGCAUUUGACCAAGUUACAUUAGAAACUGGACUAAGUGACCUUCAUGAACAUUGUAGCCCUGAGUCUUAUCUUCGAAACGGCAUAGGUUGCGUCUUAAUCUGAUAAGCGUAGCCUCAGAUAAGUUAUUUCUGCUUUAUAUGUCAAAUCUGUCUUUUGCUAAAUUGAAUUUCUGCACUUGUUAUUACUGUAUUUCUUAUUCUUAUGAUAUUGUGAGCCUAUGGAACGGCUCUUGACUUGAAUUGCUUAUGUGUGAUGUUGGGUUGUGGUUGAGGAAAAAUAAUGAAGCCGAAAUGGCUGGAAAAUUAGGUAAACACAAAGGGCGUGCUGCCCAAAUUUUCGCUCGAGGGCUAGGUUUCUAUUUGAACUUGUAUACUUUUGUUUAGCCAAUACCAUGACCGGUUUUCCAUUUUAAAACAUGAUUUUUCAUCCUUGGGUUCAAACAACCCUCUUCUUACUUGAAAGUGAUCUUUACACGUUUCAUUCCUAAUUAGUCGGGUUUCUUUGUUUCCCUUAAAUGUUUUGCUCGAUAAACUGUAAUAUGCUCUCUUGUUCAACCAUAGGUUUCAUUGGUGACUAAGAGUAAUAUCCGGAAGGAUAUUUUGCACGUUAUUGUGCGUAAAUAGGUGAGUGUUCUAUAUACGUUUUGUUUCUAUGACUAUGUGGAUUGUUGGAUCUAUGUGAUUAUUUGUGACUAUUUGAUUAAAUGUUACUUGUUUUCUAUGAUUUUUAAAAUGAACUUUUGCUAGGUGAGUGUGUACUUUAUUGCACUCGACCUAAAUAAAUAUGAAAUUUUCGGUGAUUAAAUGUUGAAAUACUAGUUGCGCAUGAAUGUAAGCCUUUUGGCUGAACUGGACCCUUGCUCUUGUUACCGAUCGACUCGAGCCAGAAACGGACUCGGUCGGGCGAUAUGGUGACCUGGGUGAAUUUGGUAUACUCGAGUAUUACCUUGUAGUCCGGCUACGUCCGGAUGGGUGGAGUCCGGCCAAUGUCCGGAUGGGUGGAGUCCGGUCAACGUCCGGAAAAGGGGAUGAACGAACAAAAGGAUGAACGAGGGAUUCUACUUACAAAAAAAUGUAUUUUCAAACGAUUGGAGGAAUAAGGGGAAAUGUCAGGGGAACGAACGAACAAACAAAUAGCUCCUCGUGAGCCUGUAUCAUUUUAAUGAAUGUAUUAUCAUUGCUUUAUAUUGAACAUGUUUUCUGGAUUAAAUGUUAUUACAUGACUAAUGUUCCUUGUUUAAUUACUUGUUUAUAUAUAUAGAACCUCACUGGGCUUUUUAGCUCAUACCACGUCAAUUGUUUUCCUUAGCAGGGGAAGGCGAGCAAGGACGAGCGUUCUGUAUAGUCUAGUUGAUCUAGUUCUUUGGCCUUGUAAUGGUUCUCGCCCUAGUGCUUGGCACGGGCUGGUUGUAUGAGGAAUGAGAACCCUUGUAUAUUCGAUGUUUGUACUUGAAUGGUAAAAAAAAAAAAACUUUGAAGACUUCUGGUGUGUAGAAGUUUCUUAUCUUUUACUUGAGCAUCUAUUGUCUAUGGAUGUAUAUACAUGAUUCGAGUUCCAUAGUGAGUGAGUCCUGGCGAGAGCUGGGCAGGCGACCCGCUGAACCCUGGGGUACGCCCUAGGGGAAGUGGGGCCGUCACAGAUGCUAGGGCAUAUAAGAGGUGGUUUAAAUCUUGGUGCAAGGCAUGUAGUUUGGGGAAAUUGUAUUUUAAAAAUGAGGGUUCUCACACACCAUGAUUCAUGUAUUAUUAUUUUCUAAUUAAAUAACUAUUGCAUAACUGUUGAACUUGUUGAGUGACAAUAAAAACUUAUGGUCAUUUUUAAGUAUCUAGUCACUCAUAAGUUAUUUGACUAAUUCAUGUGAGUUAAGUAAGAGAAUGUAAUACUUGCCUCUUUAAGAGGCUAUUGUAACCCAUAUGAUUGAUUGUAAAAUUAUUGAUAUGCUAAUUAAUUAAUUAACAUGUUGUCAAUGAUUGAUUAGUAUUUCUCAUUUAGUGAUGAUUAAUCUGUAUCUUCUGUUAAUUGAUAUUUUGCUCAAUCAAAUAAUCAAUCAAAUUAAUCAGAUAUAUUAUUUUCAAUCAAAAUUUAUGAUAAGAUUUCCUUUAUGGAAGAAAAUCCUAGGAAUUUUGAUAUUUGUCAGUAAGGGUCUCUAGUUAGGUAUAGAUUAAAAGCUGUCUUACUCUAAAUUCUUCUUCUACAUAUUUUGUUUUGUUAAAAUAGAUAAGAAAGAUGUAAGGAGACAAGGGGGAUUAAUUUGUUUGUAACAAUAAUGGCUGGAGGUAAGUCUAUUUAGUAUAUUCAUAUGCACAUAUUUAGUUUAACAACAACCCCGUGACAUUAAGUGGUUUUAUGCUCUUUUCUAUUCUCUUCCUUUGGGUUUGGAUUCAUUUGAAUUUGAUUGAAAUGGAGUUGGGAAUCUUGGGCUUGAAAGGACUUAGUUUUUUUUUUUUAACUAUAGUUGCCAAAAAGUAUUCAUUGUUAAAGAAAGGAUUAUUCUCAAUUGCAUUCAAUUACGCAGCAUAUACAAACAUAUUGUAUAAGAUGUACAACAUAUCUAUUUCAAUGGUGAAAUAGAAGAUAUUUCUCAUAGAGAUUUGAAUCAACAGAAGGCAUUAUCAAGUAGAAGAUGUUUCAAUUGUUUGUGUAGAGGCAUCUCCAUCUUCAUGCCACAAGAAUUUGUAGCGCAAAAUUUUUUCAUAAUUAAAGUAUAAAAAUCUCAUUUUUUUAAAGAAAUAUAUUUUUCUCACAAUAUUUUAAACUAAAAGAUGAGUACAGAGAUUUAUAACAAUGCAUAAGCUCCAACGUUUUUAUACAAAAUUAAAUUAAAAGGAAAUAUGAUAAGUUAAAUUUUACGACAUGGCUUUUACAUAUGGUGAAAUAAUGCUACAAGAUUUAUCCAAAUAGGUUUACAAUUUUUCUCUAGGUGAUUAGUCACAAUCAAUCUCUUUGACAUAAUUUGACAAUCACAAUGUCUAGCUUUUUCUAUUUUUUAAAAAAAAUUUUAAAUGUAAGUGGAGAGAUUCGAAUUUGGGACCUCUCACUUACAGUCCUUUCCUCCAUAUCACCAACUCAUCCCUCUUCCCAAACUUUGAUAAACAAUAGCUGAGGAAUCUUUGAUUUAGCAACUAAAAUUGAAGUUUCAAGAAUUAGAGAUCCUAGAUUCAAAUCUUUCAAUCCCCUUCCCGCUUCGUAAUCUCACCCCUCCCUUGUUGGGAAUUUUUUUUUAAAAAAAAUUUGGAACCCCCUCCCACUUUGUAAUGUCCCCCCCCCUAUUGGCAAUUUUUUUUAAAUACCUUUGACAAACAAUACAUGUGCAAUGCAAGCGUAUUUUUUCCUAGUUUCAAAGCACUCUAAACGAGACUUUUUAACUUUAUUUUACUCUUUCCCCAUUACUCUCGCGCCAAGUUGUCUUGGUUAUUAAACAUCUUUUUCCCAAAACGCUGAUAAAGAAACAAUACUCCAACAGCUAAUCAAGAAGGAUUUUAGGGGACACACUUGAGAACCGGUGUUGCCUCGAGUUUUCAGGUGCUUCAACUAACAACUUCUGCAUUGCUUCGGAAUAUUUCAAGGUGAGGAUCAUUACACACAUUCACCUAUACUAUUUAUUAUGUGGCCAUAACAGCAUUGCCUGAACCGUUCAAAACAAUUCAGAGUCAAACAAUUCAAAGCUCAAAUCCUGACAUUCUAGUGGUAACAAGAAUACCUUUGACUGGAACCACUACUAAAGGCUUCCCUAACCUUUUGGUCGUACAAAAGUAUUUAUAUGAGAGCAUAACAGCAUUCAGUAUCUCCUAUGCUUCUCAAACUAACCUUUUGCCUAUAAUUGCUAAGCUAAUCCAUCCGCAAUGAGGAAACACAAGAGGUCCAUGAGAAUAAGUUUGGCUGAGGUUGCACCAUCCCCAAUGAUUUCUCACAAAAACCUUCACAUGCUCCUAAACUAGAGACAAUAGCAGAAGAAUGCCCAAAAAGGUUGUAUCAAGGUGUUGGCAAAGGAGCACUUUUCCUUAUUCCUGUAGUUCUUUCUUCUGCAUCAUACUUGUUGAUAAAUAAACAUGCCAUCCUUUGAUGCAAGGCCAGUACUAAUAAUCCUUGCAUCCUUUUACGCCCAGAAAAUGGCCAUAAUUCUUUUGCCAGCCAUAUCUCUCACAGAUUAUCGGCCCCAAGACUCCCAUCUUUGUCUCACUUCAGACCGAGCAAACAAAGAGGUGGUCAACAUAGGUUAAGUUUUUCUUUUUCAUAAAUAAGAGUUGAGCCUGGAAGGUUGGCAAUAUCACCACUGUCCAAACGUUUUGCAGUAUCAACCGCAGCUUUAAUCCGUACCAUACAUGAAGCUGAUUUUAGACAAAGAAGCAAUUGAAACAACAGAACAGACACUGUGAUCCCCGUCAACCUAAGAUGCCAUAUUAUCAAUCUCUCAAUGGUGUCGAUGAAAUCAAAAGUGAUGAGCACAAGCCAUUUCUACAAAACAAAUUAUCCAGAGUCAGGAAAGGAUGUGACCAAAUGGAGAAAAUAAAUUUGUUAGAAUAACAUGCAUGCCCAAAAGAAUUGGCUUAGAAAAGCAGAGACUGUCUAAAGUAGGACUUAUCCUUCAAAAUCCUUUUUGCAUCAUCUGAUUAUUGUUCCCAACGAAACAAUGGAACUGCUUGUUUAGUUUUCAAUGUGAUGAGGUUAUUCCAAAUGUGAGAACCCAUAAUUUUCUUAAUUUCUAGGUUUUAUUUUAUUCUAUUGUACGCUUUUCACAUUUUCUUUAUUCAGAAAAUUUUAACCAUAAAUUUAAUGAGUAAAUAUAGUUCUAAAAUUAUUUUUCUAGUAUUAGUUAGUUUUUGAGAAAUUAAGAGUAUAUACCGGAUAUGGGACCCACUAGUGCGGUAAGUUAGGUAAAAUUCGGCCAAUUAGGUUAAGUUGUGUAUACCGGGUUUAAUUUAUCAGGUGUUAAGAGAUAAUUAGAAGUUACUUAGUUGGAUUAGUGUUGGAUUAACAUGGGAGAGAAAAAGGAUAAGCUUUAAGCCAAAAGGUGACAAGUGUCACCAUUCAAUUCACCCUUGGACUUUGACCUUUUACUCUACCUUUACUUUACCUUUCCUCCUUAUUAAAAAUUCACCAUAAAAUCAUUAUCAUACUCAUCCUCUUGGCCGAGACUUCUUGGAGAGAAAAGAAAAAAAAACACCUUCAACUAGUUGAUCCAAUUUCUUGCACAAAUCUUGUGAUUCAACCAAAAAAUCUCGACUUCACUCCUUAGAACUCCUUUGUUAGGUGGUAGUGACUAAGUUGGUGGAGUGGUUUGGAAAGAGGAGGUGCUAAGUUGUUUGUUUUCUUGAGAUUACAAGGUAAGUUGUUAAGAAUUUUUCCCUUUAGCUUUGAUAAUGUUCAAUUGGUGGCUUUAGUGGUUUAAUAUGAUGACAUAUGGUGUGAUUAUGGUUUGUUUGUGGUUGAAAGUGAAGGUUUGAUGGAUUUUGAUUUAUUAUUGUUAUUUUUCUGUUUUGUAUGAUACUCAUGGUUUGGUCAUGGAUUGAGGGCUUAUUGUAGUGUAAUCUGGAGCGAAUAUAUGCUAGAUACGAUUGGUUGCGGAAAUUUCUGGUUAGCGCAGAAAAUUACAGUUUAGGGUUGUCAAUUUCCCCUGUUCUGCCUGGUACUGUUAGACCUAGUUAGAGGCCGAUUUGGCCUUAGCACAAACAUGAAAGUUGUAGAGAAUGAUGUUUUAUAGUUGCCUACAAAAUUUUAGGUCAAUCCGACCAACGUAUCUCAUGAAAAGACAAAAAUACCCCUGAGACUGCCUUAGGUAGAUUUCAGCAGACAAGUUUGACAAUUCCUUAUGUUGGCUGCGUUGUUUCACCCUGAUCCGUAUCAAACCAGUUUUUGGCCAAAACAUGAAACUUUUAGCCUUAUGUUUCAGCUUUCCAACGCAACUGAAAACACUUUAAACGGAAUGGUGUAGCCUGAGUUAUUGUCUUUUGAAGUUGGUACUGUUGACUGUCCUAGCAGGGACAUUUCAGAUCUGUAAUCUGGAUUUUUGAUCUAGAUACACUACGAACUGGACUGAGUAGUCUUCACCAAAGUUGUAGCCCUCUGUCUUAGCUUCGAAACUGUAAAAGUUUUACCUCAAUCCGAUAAGCGUAGCUUCGGUUGUGUCCGAUACGCUAAGUGUCGUCCAAACUGUUUUUCUGCUUUUAUGACUUAAAUUUCGGUCCCAGGCCUUUGGCUUUGCAUUAGUAGUAUAUGUGUGAGGACUCGCAAAAACUAUUAUUUUAUGCCUAAUUUAUGGCUUAAUAAAUUAUUUAAUUAGAUUUUAUUUCCAAGGAAUAUUUUCUAGUCUUAUUAGACCUAAAUAAGUGGUAAAAUAUCUUCGUUAUAUUUUUUAAAAGGAUUCGUUUCGAAAAUUAAUUUCCUAGAGCGCGUUUAGUAAAAAUAGUGAAUAGUACUUGGAGAUUUUAUCCGCGUAGUAGCACAAUAAGCUUGGAAUAUUGGAGAUUUGUACUAUGGUCCUAAAAUAGGUAAUCUUAUGAAUAAAUAUUCAAGUGAUAGUUAGUAGUGCAAUCGUUAUAAGAAUUUUUCGAAAGUUUCGCGUUAUAGCGUUAAAUUUGACGAUACGCGUUUUCACACGCGCGACUUCAUUUGAGGGACUUUAGACCCUUAUUCCGGGACAAUUAAGAGUGAAUAAUAUUUACAUGAAUAUAUAUGCCUUGGAGGUUUAGUGCACUAGUGAACCAAACGCGCGAGAAAUCGAGUCCAAACGCAUCCUAAUUGCACUAUUUCAAGUUGACUUUGAGAUGUAUUUUUGCACCACACAAUGAAUCUUCCUUAGGAAGCCCCAAUUGAACCAACACUCUCUUCCUCACUUCACUUGGCCGAGCAACAAGAAAGGAGAAGAGCUCUCCAUUGUCUUCAUUUUUCAUCUUCAAUUCAUGCACCAAAAUUCAUCCAAAUCACACCAAACUUGGAGACCACUUAGCAAACCCCUUGGAGAUUAUAUCUAGCUAAGGAAGAGGGGAGCUUUCACGGUUUCUUGGAGCUUCAAGAGGACCGAAAAUUCUGACCUUGCAACCCAAAGGAGUAGGUAAUGAUCAACCCUUGGAUUCUUAUCUUAUGGAGAUUAUAUGACAAGAUUAAGCUCAUGCAUGCACUUAGUUACUUGAUUAUGGUGUAAACAUGUGAUUGUGGGCUCUUGGAAUUCCCACACUUGGGUUGUUGUUGCUGAUUUGAUGAUUGAUGGUGAUUAUAUUGUUGGUUUAGUGGUUAUAAUGAUGCAUUAGUGGUGGGUAAUUAGUAGGAACUUCAUUGGGUGUAAGAAGCUAAAAUUUCCGAUUUUGCCCCUGCCAUGUUCGGCCAUUUCCAGGCCAAUUUUAAUGGUUUAAUUGCUUGAAUUGGAUGUUUGUAGGAUGUAUUAGAUGUGUGAAAAAUUUCAUUGAAAAAUAAUGAGGUUUGAAUGGGCAAAUGAAUUUUUGUUCGAAACCAGCAAAUCUGGAAAACUGAUUCGCGUAUGCUCUGACCAGCAGUAGUAUUUUGGCUAUAACUCUGUCCUCGGAUGUCGAAAUAAUGUGCCGCCGGUGGCGUUUGAAACUAGACAUUCCUAGAUUUAAUUUGGUAUAUAAUGCACUUUCUGAUUCUUUGUGGGUAAGCCGAACCAAAUGUUUUAAGUUCGCUGUCCUGUUACUCUGUUCUUCUGGAAUGAAGUGUUCAGGCAGCAACUUGAUGCCCGAAUUUGAACCAGAUGGGUGCCGAAUUUGGAACGAUUUCUUCUGUAAUAUUUUAACUCUAUGAAUGCAUUUUCCAACGGCAUAAGCCAUGCUUGAUUUCGAGCUAUAAUGACUGAGUUGUGACUGAAGCAAGUGGACUGCUCUGUUUUGCGAAAACCCUAAUCUUUGGACUGGUUUGGAACAAAAUCUUGGAGUGAACUUGUUAGUUGAUGUUCUUGAUAUUAAACACUUACCAAAGGUAUCAUGGGUAUAUCUUAGACCCUUAUUUCACAAAUGAACCAUGGUUGGAUAACUUUCUUGGUUAAACGAUUGGAAUUUUGGAAAAUGAAAGUCAAAGGCAGUUUGCCUUAGGAUUUUUUCUUGAACUUUGGUUGGCUAAUUAACUACCUUGCCGAAGGUAUUAUUCCCCAAAAUUCGAUAAAGGGAUACUUUCCAUAUAGUAUUGAAAUACUGCCAAUUUUGGUACCAAUUCGAGUUCGUUUCGAUACCCCAAUUAAAUUACUAAAGUUAGAGGUUCAAAUCUGGAAAUUCUUCUCCAGUCUUGAAUUUCCCCAACUUCGGGCUAUCUCGUACUCGAAACCCCGAUUCUUGAUCCGCUUGUUUUGUCAUACACUUCACUUGCAACAAUAAUUGAGCUGAAAAUUUCAGAGGCCGGUUUGCAACGUGUGAAUCGUGCCGAAUUUCCAAAGUGGCCGAAAUCCAACUUGAUUCUGCCAUGAAAACCAACCCUGCGUCUUCAAGCUCAAUUUUGACCACUUUCCACUUCAAUUCAUGGAAAAGUGUCUUCUAGGACUUAUAGUACUCUCUAAGAGGGUUCCAACGGUAUAAAGUUUUCCUAUUUUUGACUUAUACCGAGUGAGUUACGAUUUUUCAAAGAUUCAUCAUAAAACUGGAAAAUUUUCCAAUUUCAAAGAAAUAGAGUUUUCGAGAACUCUUUAUUCUUUCGAUAUUUCUUAAAACGUUUUGCUUACGAUUUUCAUGAUAAAAACUCAAAUAAUAAAAAUAAAAGGCAAGUUAAACCUCGAUUUACGUGUAAUUGAGGUUCCUUUUUGCAAAAUAAUUCUUAGAUUGUACUAGUGUACAAUCUUCCUUGAUAAGUGGUUAAUUGUGAUUAUCCACUAUUAAAUUGCCAGCGCGCAAGGAGACCUUCAAGAGGAUCUCACGUGGACACUUGAACUCCCAGAAAAUAAUUCUAUUGAAUUGCUCGGUGAGUGUCAAGUGUGUGAAUUUUGAUACUUGCUUAUUUGUGGUAUUUGUUGAAAGUUUUAAAAAUAAGGGCGGGUCGUACUUUAUCGCACUCGUUCUAAUUUCAAAUGAAUGAAUGAAAUGUAUUGAAUGAAUGAAUGAAAUGCAAUGUUAUCAUGAAAAUGUCGUUGGAGUGAACCUCCUCGACUUUCAAAUGAAUGGGGGACGCCCAAACUCAUAGGCCGUCCUUAGACUCGAGCCAGCAAUGGGCUUGGUCGGGGAUUUGGACGAGCCAUGAGAUACAAAUAAGCUCGACCUAAUAAGAGGUCUUGCUUGGCAUACUCGUUGAGUAUCGCCCAAUAUUGGCCAUUGUGGGCCCUUGGGGUGUACGGUGGACGGAGGGGAAGUAAGUGGUGAUCUACGGAAAUGGAAAUACCGACCCGGUUGACAGGAGGUCAAUGCGGGAAGGUAUACGAAUGACAACGGCAGAUCGAGUGGAACUUAGCUCUUGAGAGCUACUAUAUCCGUGAAUUGUUUCUGAUUAUUUUCCUGUUUGAUUGAUUGAUUAUUGAAAAGACAUGGCUUUAUUUAUUAAAUCUGGAUUGUUAUUUGACUAAGUGCUUGCAUGUGUGUUCUUGGCCUCACGAGCGUUUAGCUCACCCUAUAGUUUUGUUUUCCUUAACAGGACCGACUCUUGGAGAAAUAUGGAGAAACCAUCCGUUGUAAUUUUGUUAAGACUCCUGUUAUAUAUUUUGACUAGGCCCUGGUUUGGGUUGUA